This 446-nucleotide ribosomal RNA is filed under the name uncultured bacterium. RNAcentral's name for it is "bacterial SSU rRNA". It matches the Rfam family "Bacterial small subunit ribosomal RNA", at positions 329 to 792 of the family's 1533-position model. The record is from RNAcentral.
AUCCAGACUCCUACGGGAGGCAGCAGUGGGGAAUAUUGCACAAUGGGCGAAAGCCUGAUGCAGCGACGCCGCGUGAAGGAUGAAGUAUUUCGGUAUGUAAACUUCUAUCAGCAGGGAAGAAAAUGACGGUACCUGACUAAGAAGCCCCGGCUAACUACGUGCUAGCAGCCGCGGUAAUACGUAGGGGGCAAGCGUUAUCCGGAUUUACUGGGUGUAAAGGGAGCGUAGACGGCGAUGCAAGCCAGAUGUGAAAGCCCGGGGCUCAACCCCGGGACUGCAUUUGGAACUGUGUGGCUGGAGUGUCGGAGGGGCAAGUGGAAUUCCUAGUGUAGCGGUGAAAUGCGUAGAUAUUAGGAGGAACACCAGUGGCGAAGGCGACUUUCUGGACUGUAACUGACGCUGAGGCACGAAAGUGUGGGGAGCAAACAGGAUUAGAUACCCCCGUA